Molecule: ribosomal RNA, 465 nt
Filed under: Vreelandella stevensii
Lineage: Bacteria; Pseudomonadati; Pseudomonadota; Gammaproteobacteria; Oceanospirillales; Halomonadaceae
Description: partial 16S ribosomal RNA
Rfam family: Bacterial small subunit ribosomal RNA
Source: RNAcentral
CCUACGGGGGGCUGCAGUGGGGAAUAUUGGACAAUGGGGGGAACCCUGAUCCAGCCAUGCCGCGUGUGUGAAGAAGGCCCUCGGGUUGUAAAGCACUUUCAGUGAGGAAGAACGCCUGGUGGUUAAUACCCAUCAGGUAAGACAUCACUCACAGAAGAAGCACCGGCUAACUCCGUGCCAGCAGCCGCGGUAAUACGGAGGGUGCGAGCGUUAAUCGGAAUUACUGGGCGUAAAGCGCGCGUAGGUGGCCUGAUAAGCCGGUUGUGAAAGCCCCGGGCUCAACCUGGGAACGGCAUCCGGAACUGUCAAGCUAGAGUGCAGGAGAGGAAGGUAGAAUUCCCGGUGUAGCGGUGAAAUGCGUAGAGAUCGGGAGGAAUACCAGUGGCGAAGGCGGCCUUCUGGACUGACACUGACACUGAGGUGCGAAAGCGUGGGUAGCAAACAGGAUUAGAUACCCCAGUAGUC